This 467-nucleotide ribosomal RNA is filed under the name uncultured Gram-negative bacterium. Its description in RNAcentral is "bacterial SSU rRNA". It matches the Rfam family "Bacterial small subunit ribosomal RNA", at positions 606 to 1074 of the family's 1533-position model. The record is from RNAcentral.
AGCUUUAACUUAGGAAUUGCAUUCGAUACUGUCAGCUUAGAGUAUGGGAGAGGAUGUAGAAUCCAGCUGUAGCGGUGAACUGCGUAGAGAUCUGGAGGAAUACCGAUUGCGAAGCAGCCAUCUGGCCUAAUACUGACGCUGAGGUACGAAAGCAUGGGGGAGCAAACAGGAUUAGAUACCCUGGUAGUCCAUGCCGUAAACGAUGUCUACUAGCCGUUGGGGCCUUUGAGGCUUUAGUGGCGCAGCUAACGCGAUAAGUAGACCGCUGGGGAGUACGGUCGCAAGACUAAAACUCAAAUGAAUUGACGGGGGCCCGCACAAGCGGUGGAGCAUGUGGUUUAAUUCGAUGCAACGCGAAGAACCUUACCUGGUCUUGACAUAGUAAGAACUUUCCAGAGAUGGAUUGGUGCCUUCGGGAACUUACAUACAGGUGCUGCAUGGCUGUCGUCAGCUCGUGUCGUGAGAUG